This 608-nucleotide ribosomal RNA is filed under the name Reyranella sp. Its description in RNAcentral is "bacterial SSU rRNA". It matches the Rfam family "Bacterial small subunit ribosomal RNA", at positions 107 to 750 of the family's 1533-position model. The record is from RNAcentral. Lineage: Bacteria; Pseudomonadati; Pseudomonadota; Alphaproteobacteria; Hyphomicrobiales; Reyranellaceae.
UGAGUAACGCGUGGAUAUCUGCCUUUUGGUUCGGAAUAACCCCGGGAAACUGGGGCUAAUACCGGAUGGUUCCUACGGGAUAAAGAUUUAUCGCCAAAAGAUGAGUCCGCGUACGAUUAGCUAGUUGGUGAGGUAAUGGCUCACCAAGGCGACGAUCGUUAGCUGGUCUGAGAGGACGAUCAGCCACACUGGGACUGAGACACGGCCCAGACUCCUACGGGAGGCAGCAGUGGGGAAUAUUGGACAAUGGGGGCAACCCUGAUCCAGCCAUGCCGCGUGAGUGAUGAAGGCCUUCGGGUUGUAAAGCUCUUUUGGCGGGGACGAUGAUGACGGUACCCGCAGAAUAAGCCCCGGCUAACUUCGUGCCAGCAGCCGCGGUAAGACGAAGGGGGCUAGCGUUGUUCGGAAUUACUGGGCGUAAAGCGAGUGUAGGCGGUUAUCCAAGUUGGAUGUGAAAGCCUUGAGCUUAACUCAAGAAAUGCAUUCAGGACUGGAUGACUAGAGGACCGGAGAGGAUAGUGGAAUUCCCAGUGUAGUGGUGAAAUACGUAGAGAUUGGGAAGAACACCAGUGGCCGAAGGCGGCUAUCUGGACGGUACUGACGCUAAG